GUUUUAAUGCGACCACGGUAGGCACAAUUCCUUCAUAAUAUGUUGCGAUUCGUAUUCGGUUUUUAGUUCUUUGAAGUCCGACCGUGCCCGUUCCAAGGCGGGAUAAACGCAGAGGAAAAC
This 120-nucleotide non-coding RNA is filed under the name unclassified sequences. The record is from RNAcentral.